Megachile rotundata (alfalfa leafcutting bee) is the source of this 3254-nucleotide long non-coding RNA. The record is from RefSeq and is a predicted model, not a curated record. NCBI's taxonomy places the organism in Eukaryota, Metazoa, Arthropoda, Insecta, Hymenoptera, Megachilidae.
GAGUGUACGGUCGUGGCUCGUGACCCAAGGGUUAAGUAAACGAACGCUCGCGUGAUUUCUCUGCACACUCGAUUCGAACGCUCCAAUUUUUCGCGAACUCGCGACGCUACGUAUCGAGGGAAAUCAUGGAAAUUGCGGUAAUUCCCGGUAAUCAGUGCCGUAGACGCGUUGCGCAAACGCCCCUUCUUCGCGCGUUUCACAGCGAGUUGCACACGGCAGUCUAUCAGACCGAGAUUCCACGUUUCUCGUCUCCAGCCUACGAAAAUGCGAAUCCUCACGCACUGUCCUGAUUUCGUUCAAUUGACAAUGAUCUCGUUCCCUUGGCCAACCACGAUCCGUUCGUCCAUCGGUUAAAAGAACCGACUGAUUCUUCUUAUCGUCGUGAUUUGAUAGCUCGCAUCGAUCGUGCAAUUUGUACGCCGUGGAGGGAGUUUGAGGCGAAGGUAAACGUCCCGUGAUACAAAGAUCGUGAGCUUAAUAUUUUUCCUUUCAAAUGUCGCUUUAUUUCUCAUUUUAUUUGAUAAUAAAUUGUCUACAAUUUGUCCUAGGUUAGUACGUCUUGGAGUUCUCGUGGGGAGAGGUUCGCGAGAAAGCACAGGUCGAUCAAUAAAACGGUGAAAAAUGUAGGUGAAUAGCGAGAGCACUCGCGAAGCUGAUAGAACGAAAACGCGUCUCUGCUUUUUAUCUCACACACUCUCCAUCUCUCUCUCUCUCUCUUUCUCUCUCUCUCUCUCUCUCUCUGCUUCGAUUUCGUGUCGCGCGUACAGAGGACGAAAAAGUGACGAUAUGAGCGAAAGUAGCGAAGACAGAGGGUACGAAAGAUGAUUCGAUCACGGAAGAAGAAAGUUGCUGGCAAAUAAAAGCUCGAAAAUAUCGUUUUGCUCUCGAUCGAACGGAUUUUUCUUAGAAAUAGUUGCUUGUACUUUGCAGACACUUCGAAUAGUUUCGCCUCUUCACGAUUUACGUAUCAUCGUCGACCGAAUAUUGCCAAUUUUUAACGAACGAACGAAACUGAUCCCCGUUCAGAGACAGUACCCGAGAGCCAUUUAAAUAAGUGUCAAUUAACACCGGAACAACUAUUGUAAAACCGUCGAAAUAACGAAUUGCUUUCGAAGAGGAAAAAAGACGAUCACGUGCGCCGAUUGAUUUUUCAUCGAAACGUUAAAAUUCUGUGUAUAUUGUACUGAAAUAUACCGGAAACGAUGGAUCGUAGCGUUAAGAAAUCGAAGAGGUUUUAGUGAUCGAGUCCCUUCGUCCUUUGCUAUAGCCCGUCCUUUGCGCGCGACUGCUUCGACUCCUCUUUACUCGACACCUCGAAGCAAUAACCAAAUUGUCUGGAACAUUUUCGUGCGAAAUAACGCGAUCCAUUUCUCGCCAACCGAGAGUUCUGCUCCGAGGGAUGUGAAUUUCACUCGCCACUCUGAGAAAUAGCCAGAUGGCUUUCAGGUACGUAAAGAGCGAAUACCUAAAUGAAUCUCUUCCGGCGGAUAAAGGUGCACGCUCGCUCAAAUUCGAAAUAAAUAUCUCGAAAAAGGUGAAUCGCGAACACAAAGAAAGCCGUGAAGAAGAAAUGGAAGAUAUUAGAAAUAGAAAAGUAGAAGAAGAAGAAGAAGAAGAAGAUGAUGAUGACGAUGAUGAUGAUGUCGAUGAAGAAGGAUAUUCAGGAACGAAAGGAACAAGACGCAAAAACGAACUGAUGAACGUUAAACACGAACAAAUUCACGAUUCAACCAUAUUAUUCACUUUUAACACGCGAUCGCGCGAAACCAUUGUCCUUUUCUUCGUUUCGUAUCGUUUCAACGUGUACUCUUCGUCUCGAUCAUCUCUGUAUACACACACGUAUAUAUAUUUAUUUAUGUAUAUAUAAUAUAUAUAUAUAUUCCUUGGUAAAAUUCUGUCUCUUUUUUUUCUCUGACUCUUUACAUGAUUUUUUUCCCGAGGCAUACGAUUGAACCUACUACGAUCAUCGAGAAUCCACGUCUCCAUUUUCCUAUCGAUUCAGCGGUCUCACUCUUUCUCGCUGCGCGUCUUGAGAUCGUUGUAUCUAACUAUGAUAUAUCUACACGUUACUUAUAUGCCUAUGUCGAUUGGUUGUUUGUUCUUUCGCGCUUGCUUUCUUCGGAUGAGGGGUCACAGGUCGCGCAGUGGGACAGAAUACCAAGAAGCGCGGAAACUAGUUUAAAGCGUCAUCUUUCUUGUACAUGAAAAUUUUUACAAACCUGUGCGAGUCACGCAUACUUUUUAAGACAUCCGCGUGCUCUCUAGUUAAAUCUUAUUUUCCGAGUUUUCGAAUAUUAAAAACUAUUGUUAUAUAAGAGGCCAAUUUUUCCGAUGAAUUCGUUAUCGAAGAAAAAAAAAAUAUCUGAAAUAUAUACGUUUAUUAUUUAAGGAGAAAUAUAAAGGAAGAACAUAGUUUUUAUUCGUUUCUUGGAAUUCUGCAUCACCAUGGGUCAAGGAGAAAACGUCGAUCCACGAAGACGAUCGAUCAACCUUUCCCUUUUUUCCAUUUUUGCCAUGUUCAUGUUUACAUCGUUAGAUUCUCUACGCGGUAGAAUCGUGAACUGUCUUCGAGUUCGACGCGAAGGGAGCGCUUUGUAUAAUUGAGAUCGAUCAAAGUACCGUUCGACGUACAAAAAAGAGAGAUUACCGACCGAUUAACGUUAUCGACGUUGAACGUUCGACGAGACACAAAGCUACCGCGUAGAUCGUGAUACGGGCUUGAUCGAGACGCGCCUUUAAUUCGAUUACUAUGAUACAACGGCAACGACCGAUCGAGAAUUACGGCGUGGCCCGAUCACGAAUGCCCCUCGUGUAUUUCUCUUCCACCUCUCGCGAUCCCACGGAUGAUUAACGGGGUAAUUAAUUUAACGAAUUAGUCGUCACCGCGUUCGUCGUUCUCGUUGAUUAAUACACUACACGCUACGUCGUUUACGAUGUACAAUAUCAAUUAAUUAUCAAAUUAUUAAUUCAAUCAUUAGAAUUACUUUAGAAUAUUGGUACUCUUUCGCGUCACCUCCAUUUUUUAUCCUCUCUUUCGCCGAUUCGUUCCCAUCACUUUCUCUCUCUCCCUUGCUCUCUCGUUCUUGAUACGAAUUUUUCUACCGGAUUCUUGUAUUCUUACAUAUUUCCUGUUGUUUAUCAUCGUAUCCUAUUUGAACGUCGAUUACGCGCGUUUCGACGAUGGACGGCGGACACGAAGACACUGGGAAAAGUUCGUAUAAACGCGUAUUCGAGUCGAUCCUUUUUCGAAUCGC